CCGAUAAAAAUGGACAUCGAAACACAAAUGGCGAUAAUAACUUCGCAUUGGCUGCUUAAUCCAGGAUUAAAAAGCCUUUUAUGCCGCCCGGUUGACGUCCGAUACAUACCGGUUGCCGCAUAUCAACAGACCCGCGGACUAGCUUGAAGGAGUGUUUUGGCCCGAUAGCGAAACUUUAGAAACUAAGUUGAUGGCAAGGUCUGCUUUUAUACCUGCCUGAUACCGAAAACCCAAAUAGAAGCUAAGCAUGUAGAAAGCUCUCAGAUGCUUUGUCUGGACCAGGGUUCGAAUCCCUGCAGCUCCACAA
Molecule: transfer-messenger RNA, 307 nt
Filed under: Saprospiraceae bacterium
Lineage: Bacteria; Pseudomonadati; Bacteroidota; Saprospiria; Saprospirales; Saprospiraceae
Description: partial transfer-messenger RNA
Rfam family: transfer-messenger RNA
About the family: Bacterial tmRNA, also known as 10Sa RNA or SsrA, is named for its dual tRNA and mRNA-like properties. Its role is to liberate the mRNA from a stalled ribosome. To accomplish this part of the tmRNA is used as a reading frame that ends in a translation stop signal.
Source: RNAcentral